AUGAAGAAAAUCAAGUCAGGACAAAAACUGCCAAAAAUAGCAAGUGACUUGUAACUGAAGUUUCCAAAAAUGGAAAGUUUUUGACCUCAAAAACAGAAGUCCAAGGAAGCUUCAAAUGAAAAAUUGUUCAACAUGACAGAUGUAGAUCUUGUUCUCACCUUUCCAAAAAGUCCAAGAACUUGAAAAUCCAAUGUACGGUUUGCAAGAUAUGGCUCA
RNAcentral lists this long non-coding RNA (216 nucleotides) under Lathyrus oleraceus (garden pea). RNAcentral describes it as "Pisum sativum (pea) long non-coding RNA (PSAT_LNC023533)". The record is from RNAcentral. Lineage: Eukaryota; Viridiplantae; Streptophyta; Magnoliopsida; Fabales; Fabaceae.